GAGGAUAAAUCACGGAUGAAGCCAAAACACUCUUCAGUGUGGACAAGCAAGGGAGAAGGACAAGGCUGGGACAAGCUCCAAAGAGGGCUCAAGCCAUCAUGUGUGCUCAGCCCUCGUGUCAGCUCCAGCUGAGACAAGAAGGGCUAGGGAGGGAGAGCUGCCACUUCAGUACAGUCUUAGUCAAGAGGCACCUUGUGGAGUGCCCAGCAGCUCAGAGGAUAAAUACCUUCAGGAAAGAGAGAAGUGACAAUUCAGUGUUUAAAUGUCGAUAUUGAAUCUGAUGGUCUGCCUGCACCUGGGGUCCAAGACACCUGAGGAUCCUUUUCUGAGCUGAAGGAUUUCUGGAGUCGUGAAAGAUUCCACUGCAAUGGAAAUGUCCUACACCCUCCUAAGAACCCAAGGAAAAAAUCUGCUGGGGCAGAAAUGGUGGCUGAUAUCAUCAGUGGUGCCUAGGAUGUUCUCUUAACCUGCUGGAUUGAAGAAAAAUUUCCUUCUGACCUUCACAGUCUGCCUUUAGCUCUUGAGGUAACCUGUUGAUGGCAGAAAGCUUUUCCCCACAUCCCAGUGGCCAUCCACCACAUCCAGAGGUAUCAGUUCUGGUACCUCUGCAUCAGCAUUCCCUGCCAGAUGGCUCCAAACCAGGAAUUCACAUACUCCUCAGUUGCACAGAAUGUGCCACCUUUUCUAUGAACUUGUUUUGAAUAUCUGAUCAAUCAUGAUUUUCCUGUGGAUGAGAGAUGGUUUUCCCUUACAACUUUGUGGUUCUAUUGGUUUUGAAACCAAUAUUUCCUUUGGGACGUUUUUGCUUACAGAAGGGUGUGAAAGAUACAGAGUUUUAGUUUUUAUUAGAGACUAACCUCAAGUGUGCCUAUAGGCAUUAUUUAAAAAAAAAAAAAAGUCUUAUUUUCCUAUAGGUUAUAAUUAAUUUUUGAAAAUCUCGAUAGUCUAUGUUUCUAGAAAUUAAUAUCAAUAUUAAAAUUCAAGAUCUAAAGAAGUAGAAAAUAAAAUUAAUAUCCUCUAUUUGUCAAGUUGCAUAGUAAAUAUACAAUGCUUGCUUUUUCUUUUCUUUAUAACUCUACAUGAAGCAUUGGGAAAGGAUGCAAUUUUUCCAUUUUUUUCCCUUAGACUAUAUAAAAGGUUCAUAGCUGAAAAUUUAAGGGAAAAUAUAAGAAUGAAGAGAUAAAUUAUCCUAAGAAAAAAGACAGGCUAAAACAGGUUUAUUAAAUUUAAAACUAGAACAACACCAUAAAAAACAAAAAAAACCCCAAAACCACCAACCCCCCCUCCAAGAAACCCUAAAAAAACUAAAACUCACCAGAAUUUAAUAUUUUAAUAUGCAGUUAUACUUUAAUUAUAAGAUUAUAUUAAAGUGUUAUAACAUAUUUGUUGCAAAGCAUGGAAAAUUUGUCCAGAAAUUUUUCCAGAGAAAUGUAAAUUACUGCCUUAGGUUUCCCCAUGUGUUUUCCACUGUACAUCAGAAAACCACAAAAAACAAAUCAUAUUUGGAAGCUGAGGUUGCUUACAGAAAAGUUUAGAUAGUGAUUCAAUUCCCUUUUAAUUUUUCUUAACUGAUGUUUUUUUGGUUUUUUUAACUUUUUCUCCCUCUGGGGAA
Long non-coding RNA from Catharus ustulatus (Swainson's thrush), 1612 nucleotides. RefSeq lists it as uncharacterized. The transcript has 4 exons. NCBI's taxonomy places the organism in Eukaryota, Metazoa, Chordata, Aves, Passeriformes, Turdidae. The record is from RefSeq and is a predicted model, not a curated record.